GUUUGUGUUGGUUCUGUUGUUUGAAAAAAGACUCAGGAAAAACAGACCUGGAGGCAAAUGAGAGGAUAAAGAGGAACGAAUCUGGUGGCUGUUUUCAGUAACUGUGCUUGAAGUGUCAAUUGCUGCAUGAUUGAUAUAUUUUAAUUGGAAUAUACACUCCUUGAAACUUUUUCUUUAUUUCUAGGUACAGUGAAUGUUUCUGUUGGUGUAAAUGGGACACUGUUUGCAAAGAUGCCAAUUUGGAAAUACAGGCCAGAGCAACUCACUUUUUGUUUGUCCGAAACCAUGCAAAUCAUAGUAGAGGAGCUACUCUGUACAUAUUCUGCUUCAACUGAAUAUUGGCAGCACUCGGAUAUGUCCUCCGAUGAAUUGUGGAGAGUGCUAGGUUCUGUGCUUUAGUGUUCCCAGCAAUGAAGGCCUGCUCAUCUACUAACCCAAGGUGCAAAGGUGGCUAUAAACAGAUAUUGUAUUUUAGGUUGCCCCUGAUUGAUCCACAUUAAAACAUGUUACAAAAUAGGAACAGUAUAUCUCUUUACUUGCUACCCUAUGGCCAUCCUGAGAGCCCGCAGCCUAAUGGACUUAUCCCUGGAAUGACUGGAAAUUAACCUGAACCAUCUGCUGUUAAUUUACAGACCAGGUAAAUUGUCCCAGAAAGCGUUAGUAUAUCUUAUCUCACAUACUUCACAGGUACUUAAAGUGGGGAAAAUGGACCAAUAGUCUGUAGGAUCCCAGAACAAAAGGUUUUUCUUCCCAGAGAAGUCCAUAGUCUGUUUGCACUCUAGAGGCGAUGGGUGUUUUAAGUGCAGGUAGUACCUGUCAAAAGAAGGUAUAAAGAGGGCCUUUAGUAUAAAAAGUUGGGAAAACAGCAUCUUUAAAUUAUAAUCCAUCUAACACUUUAUAGGUACUGUGAAGAAGGCACAGCUUGUAAUAAGCUGAAGUUGAAUAAGUGGACAGGGUUGUCACAUAGUUCUGUUUGCAAGCUGAAAUGGAGUUUGUGGUCAUGGAAGCAUAUGUUCCUGUUGUGAGAUUAUUCUGGGAUAAAUUAAGGUGUAGCCAGUGCAAACCACAAACAGUUACUAUAUCUCCUAUAUGGCAAUUGUUGUGGCAAACUGAAUUGUGAGUUGUUCAAAAGAAAUGUUUGGAAUGAAGAUCUCAGUCCAUGAGUUGUGGACUAUCUCAGAGAUGGGCAAUUAUGUGGACUGAAGUGCCACACAAGAAGUUUUGGUGAGCUGUUCAGCACUGGUGGUGGGGGGAGAGAAGAGAUGCCAUUUGAUCCUAUCCAGCUGGGAGCUUGAGGAGGGAGGGCUGUGCCCCGUGCUGCUCCCAUCUGCUGCAGCCAGGGCUGGGUCAGCUGGUGUAGUGCAGACUCUCCACCCCCUAUCUCUCUUCCAGCUUCCUGUUGGUGUUGUGCAGUCCUGGUACUGAAGCUGUUAGCAACAACUGGGCCUUCACAGGACAGGGUGUGAUGCAGCAUACUGCGUAGGUUCCCACCUACUAAGGUGAGCUCCUGCCCUCCCUGGCAGCUGGCAGGCCAGAUGAGACCAGUUGUUGGGCUGGAUAUGGUCCCCGGGCCAUGUUUUACCUACCCCUGGACUAUCCAGUCUUAACCCCUUUUCCCCCCUGUUUUUUACAGAAAUAUUUUUCAUUAAGUAUAUAAGAACAUUUAGGAUUGAAUUAUGUUUCUUACAUGUUCUUUUAAGUACUUUUGCAACACAAGAGUUCAGUGUUUAUUGAACUAGGUUAAAUAAACUAGGUGUGAUUAAAGAAUGGCUAUCUUAA
RNAcentral lists this long non-coding RNA (1779 nucleotides) under Crocodylus porosus (Australian saltwater crocodile). RNAcentral describes it as "lncRNA (ENSCPRG00005006915.1)". Lineage: Eukaryota; Metazoa; Chordata; Crocodylia; Crocodylidae. The record is from RNAcentral.